GACGAACGCUGGCGGCGUGCCUAAUACAUGCAAGUCGAGCGCAGGAAGUCAUCCGAACCCUUCGGGGGGACGUUGACGGAAUGAGCGGCGGACGGGUGAGUAACACGUAAAGAACCUGCCCUCAGGUCUGGGAUAACCACGAGAAAUCGGGGCUAAUACCGGAUGGGUCAUCGGACCGCAUGGUCCGAGGAUGAAAGGCGCUCCGGCGUCGCCUGGGGAUGGCUUUGCGGUGCAUUAGCUAGUUGGUGGGGUAACGGCCCACCAAGGCGACGAUGCAUAGCCGACCUGAGAGGGUGAUCGGCCACACUGGGACUGAGACACGGCCCAGACUCCUACGGGAGGCAGCAGUAGGGAAUCUUCCACAAUGGACGAAAGUCUGAUGGAGCAGCGCCGCGUGAACGAUGAAGGCCCUCGGGUCGUAAAGUUCUGUUGUAAGGGAAGAACAAGUGCCGCAGGCAAUGGCGGCACCUUGACGGUACCUUGCGAGAAAGCCACGGCUAACUACGUG
Molecule: ribosomal RNA, 508 nt
Filed under: uncultured bacterium
Lineage: Bacteria
Description: partial 16S ribosomal RNA
Rfam family: Bacterial small subunit ribosomal RNA
Source: RNAcentral